Molecule: non-coding RNA, 30 nt
Filed under: Rattus norvegicus (Norway rat)
Lineage: Eukaryota; Metazoa; Chordata; Mammalia; Rodentia; Muridae
Source: RNAcentral
UAGAGGAAUUUACCUUGUCUAUCAGAUUGC